This 2220-nucleotide long non-coding RNA is filed under the name Salvia miltiorrhiza (redroot sage). RNAcentral describes it as "long non-coding RNA (SMIL_LNC009287)". Lineage: Eukaryota; Viridiplantae; Streptophyta; Magnoliopsida; Lamiales; Lamiaceae. The record is from RNAcentral.
CUACGUUGCAAGGAACGAAUACCAACUGAUUUGACGUAGCCUCAAGUAUCCUAUCUGAUAAUGCACGUGCUCUAGCCUCAACUGAUUUUCCAAGAUAUGGUAAAUGGAUUCACAAACAUAAACUUCCUGAGUUCCAUCUUUCUUCAUCUUUUUCAUCAAAUGACUGCCAAAAAUUUGGAUAUGUUUAGAUAAGAAAUAAACAUGUUAAUAUAAAUGAGAAUAACUUAAUAAGUCAUUUACCAAACAUAUGUGAUAAUGCAGUUCCCCGUACUCGGUUCCAGAUUACAGAAGGGAAUCACAUCAUCCUUCUUUAGAAUCCAAACUGUAAUAUCAUGCCCGAAGACUUCAAAGUCUAUUUCACAUGUAUUCCUACAUCUGUGAACGACUUCUCCAUCAUAUAGUAUAGUGCUAGCAAUGAUCCAGGCAAUGAUGACAAAUUCUUCACCACGGAGUCCUUGACAACAUUUUUUGCAACUGCCUUCUUAUUGCAUUUCUAGAUAAAUGUACACAACAUGUCAGAGGUAUUAAUUAAUAUGUCCAAGGCUGUUAGAAAAAAACUAAAUUACCUCAAUUGACUUUAAUGACAGGUAUAUAUUCAAGUUAUUAUAUAUGGCAGGUGGAUAUUAAUUACUAUGUCCAAGGCUGUUAGAGAAACUAAAAUUACCUCAAUUGACUUUUCCACCACCAAAUCACUAGGCCAUGCGACAUGGGUUCCUAGCUAAUGCACUUCCCACGGUCUCCAUCUCAUCUAAAAUACGAAAGGGUAGUCGUGCAUUCUCAUCGACAACCUCAUCAAUCGCCACACGUAACGAGUCUUCAGGCAUUGGAGAUCCGUGUAGGACAUCACCAGCAACAACCACCGUUCCAUAAGCUACAACUUUGGUGGAUUCUUUUUCAAGUAAUUUUACCAUCUUCCCCUGCAUCAAAUAAAGUAAAGUUGUUUGUUAGUUGUGAAGCUGACUUUGUGUGUUCUUUGGUCUAUAUAUGAAAGGAAGAAACGACAAAAAUACUUAUUACAAGUAUUCACGUAAUACCUCCAGUCCAACUGAUUUUUCAACUAAUACGACGUCUUCAUCGUCUUCAACCUGUUUCUUCUUAGGCUUUACCACAGAACAGCUGCCCAAUCCUUCAGACUUGUCUUCCUUAUCACAUACCUUCGCUUCAAGUUUUCCAAUCCUAUUUACCAAUUCAUAGAUCACUUUAUCUAGCACAAGUAUGCGUCCAUCUUGUUCUUUUAUUUAUUUCUUCGCAUCCUCCAAUUCAACUUGUGAUUUAUCAUCAGUUUCUUGUAUAUUUCCUCUAGGCGUAUGGAAGAAUGAUUUGGGUUUGACACCUGCCCCUAAACCUCACACACGACCAGUAUGUUCUACUUUUUGCAGGCCACGUUACAACAAAUCGCUUGAACCGGACUCAUAAUCAAGUAUCCCUUCCUCCUUUUCACGUAUGUAGUCAUCCUGUUAUUUUCAAACAAUAACAUGAUUAAAAGGUAAAUGUGCAAUUUAAUGAUCAAUUUUAAGGGAAUUAACAUAAUGCUAUGCCUUACUAUUUUAUGAAUGGUAUUCUUCAAGUUUUCAUUCUCAAUUUCUCCAUCCUUAGUCAAUCUUGCUCUCUUCCACAUCAUAGCUCUGUCUAUUUCUUCAUCACCUCUAAAUUCAGUCUUCUAUAAAACAUUUCAUGCAAAUAAUCUGAAGUUAGAACAUAAAACAAUAUUGAUAAUAAUAACAAAAAAGAAGUUAAGCAACAACAGCCAUAGGGAUUUUUUAAGUUAAGAAACAACAGCCAUAGGAAUUUUUGAAGUUAAGCAACAGCUGCCAAUGAUUUGAUGAGAUGCUUACUUUUGCUUUGGACUUCAUAUUUCAAGCACAGCACAUCUUACGAAUCAGUUGGAAAGAAUUCAAUGGUUAAUUAAACCAAUGAAGUACAGCAGGAAAGGAAUUUUUUACCUUGAUUUCUUCGGCAAAUCUUGCAUAUCCUUUGCGGGAAUGGGGGUAUAUGUUCCCACGUUGUCUCUCUUUUUGUUGCUCACUCAAAGCCUACAAUAUUAUCGUAGUGACGUAGUAGACAAGUACAACAUUCACUAAAAUGUAUAGAUACGAACUUAUGUACCUUAAAUUCAGACGACAUGCGGCGGACUACAAAUUGAUUCCAAUCUAAUGGCAGAAUGCCACUUCCCGGUGGCGGUUCAUGCAACUUUGAAGCAUCAUCUUGAUUCGGUACAAU